Molecule: ribosomal RNA, 253 nt
Filed under: uncultured bacterium
Lineage: Bacteria
Description: partial 16S ribosomal RNA
Rfam family: Bacterial small subunit ribosomal RNA
Source: RNAcentral
CACGUAGGGCGCAAGCGUUGUCCGGAAUUAUUGGGCGUAAAGAGCUCGUAGGCGGUCUGUUGCGUCCGCUGUGAAAACUCGGGGCUUAACCCCGAGCCUGCAGUGGAUACGGGCAGACUAGAGGUAGGUAGGGGAGAAUGGAAUUCCCGGUGUAGCGGUGAAAUGCGCAGAUAUCGGGAGGAACACCGGUGGCGAAGGCGGCGUUCUGGACUGCAACUGACACUGAUAAACGAAAGCCAGGGGAGCAAACGAG